RNAcentral lists this ribosomal RNA (375 nucleotides) under uncultured bacterium. RNAcentral describes it as "bacterial SSU rRNA". It matches the Rfam family "Bacterial small subunit ribosomal RNA", at positions 358 to 731 of the family's 1533-position model. The record is from RNAcentral.
GGAAUAUUGGUCAAUGGACGCAAGUCUGAACCAGCCAUGCCGCGUGAAGGAUGAAGGUCCUCUGGAUUGUAAACUUCUUUUAUCUGGGACGAAAACGGGAUUUUUAUCUCAAUUGACGGUACCAGAGGAAUAAGCACCGGCUAACUCCGUGCCAGCAGCCGCGGUAAUACGGAGGGUGCGAGCGUUAUCCGGAUUUACUGGGUUUAAAGGGUGCGUAGGUGGGCUUAUAAGUCAGUGGUGAAAUCUCCGAGCUUAACUUGGAAACUGCCGGUGAUACUAUAGGUCGUGAUUUAGCUGGAGGGAAGCGGAAUAUGUCAUGUAGCGGUGAAAUGCUGAGAUAGGACAUAGAACACCAAUUGCGAAGGCAGCUUACUA